CACGUAGGGCGCAAGCGUUGUCCGGAAUUAUUGGGCGUAAAGAGCUCGUAGGCGGUCUGUUGCGUCCGCUGUGAAAACUCGGGGCUUAACCCCGAGCCUGCAGUGGAUACGGGCAGACUAGAGGUAGGUAGGGGAGAAUGGAAUUCCCGGUGUAGCGGUGAAAUGCGCAGAUAUUAGGAAGAACACCGGUGGCGAAGGCGGCUCUCUGGAACGGUACUGACGCUGAGGAGCGAAAGCGUGGGAGCGAACAGG
Molecule: ribosomal RNA, 252 nt
Filed under: uncultured bacterium
Lineage: Bacteria
Description: partial 16S ribosomal RNA
Rfam family: Bacterial small subunit ribosomal RNA
Source: RNAcentral